Molecule: ribosomal RNA, 322 nt
Filed under: uncultured eukaryote
Lineage: Eukaryota
Description: partial 18S ribosomal RNA
Rfam family: Eukaryotic small subunit ribosomal RNA
Source: RNAcentral
CCCUUAGAUGUUCUGGGCUGCACGCGCGCUACACUGGUGCACUCAACAAGUUUACAACCUUGAUCGAUAGGUCUGGGUAAUCUUUUGAAUAUGCACCGUGCUAGGGAUAGAUUAUUGCAAUUAUUAAUCUUGAACGAGGAAUUCCUAGUAAAUGCAAGUCAUCAGCUUGCGUUGAUUACGUCCCUGCCCUUUGUACACACCGCCCGUCGCACCUACCGAUUGAAUGGUCCGGUGAAAUCUCGGGACGGCGGCUUGGUCGCUUGCGUCCGACUGCUGAAACUUGAUUAAACCAUAUCAUUUAGAGGAAGGUGAAGUCGUAACA